GACGAACGCUGGCGGCGUGCUUAACACAUGCAAGUCGAACGAGUGGCGAACGGGUGAGUACUACGUGAGUAACCUGCCCUCUUUUUGGGAUAAGCCUUGGAAACGGGGUCUCAUACCGGAUAAAGGGGGAUGGGCUCGCGGCCUAUCCGCUUGUUGGUGGGGUGAUGGCCUACCCAGGCGGUGACGGGUAGCCGGCCUGAGAGGGUGACCGGCCACAGGGGGACUGAGAUACGGCCCAGCCUGCUAAGGGAGGCAGCAGUGGGGGAUAUGGCACAAUGGGCGAAAGCCGGAUGCAGCGACGCCGCGUGGGGGAUGAAGGCUUUCGGGUUGUAAACCUCGUUCGCUAGCGAACGGGUAGGUGGAGAAGAAGCGCCGGCUAACUACGUGCCAGCAGCCGCGGUAAUAC
RNAcentral lists this ribosomal RNA (406 nucleotides) under uncultured bacterium. Its description in RNAcentral is "partial 16S ribosomal RNA". It matches the Rfam family "Bacterial small subunit ribosomal RNA", at positions 28 to 526 of the family's 1533-position model. The record is from RNAcentral.